Molecule: long non-coding RNA, 5660 nt
Organism: Haemorhous mexicanus (house finch)
Lineage: Eukaryota; Metazoa; Chordata; Aves; Passeriformes; Fringillidae
Exons: 3
Source: RefSeq, a predicted model, not a curated record
GAGGGAGUACAGGCGGCAGUACGUGUCUGCUCGAACACUGGCAGUUCGACGGCCCUUGGUUAAAAGGCAGAUCUCUGGGGAGAGAAACAUUCAGCACCCAUUGAAAACAAAGAAGUUACUGAACCAUGUGAAACUUUAAAGUGCCCCCAACAGGAAUUCAUUGUUCUGGAACACUAGAAACUGAAGCUAUGUGCAGAGUCCCAAGAGACAGCUCCAGCUUUUGACUUCUAAUUCUUCCACCCAAUGUAUCAGGAUGACUGCAUGGAGGCCAAAGUCAGUGUCUGAGGCUUGGAUCAGCAAAACAUGUGGGAAAAAUGUCAAGAAACCAUAAGAGACAAUGUUAGGCUUCAUCACAGGACAAUGGGACCGUAGAAGUCAUGGAUACUACUGCAACAAAUAUUUAUUUUUUUUUCUUCAUCUUCUUUCAUCUUCUAUUAUGUUUUGUCAAGGUGAAGGGAAAAAAAUGAAAACUAUGAUGUGCAGACUGUCGAAUCACGACUUCUGGUUGAAGACUAUAAGUCUGGAAGGCUUUUAAUACCUGUAAUCCUACUAGUUAGAUAAUAUAAUAAACAACGGGUCAGAAAAGAUAUGACAAAUGUUCAGUGCCCAUAAAAUGGUCAGGGAGUGCUGCUGUGGAGCCUGCCUCCUCAGUAAGCAAAGACAGCUUUUUGUUCUCAACUCCAGUUGAAUGGUCUGAACUAUUGUUUUCUUACAGAAAAAAUACUGUGAAUGAAUACCCACAUACUGCAUUUCCAGUGGUAUUUCUUGACUGAAUAGAACUGUAUUAUAGUCACUGAUACAUUAUCUGUAUUGCCUUGUAAUAUGUAUCAAUAGCAUCAUUUGUAGUUUGUUCAUAAGACUAAAGUGUUUGCUAAUUGUAUGUGUUAAUCUAUCAGCUGUUUGUUUGGACAGACCUUCAAGCAUAAUCAGAAAUAAUAUAUGAAAUAUUCUUUAUCGGGACCAGAGAGGAGGAACACAGAAUACUGAAAUGAGUUCCCAUUAAACACUUGUGUUUAUUUAAAUAAAGCAGUGUUUGUUUUUAAUGAAAAUAAUAAAGUAAUGAAAAGAGCCAUGACAUAUUUAAAAUGAGCCUUAGUGGCAUCAAGUACACCAGGUGCCCUUAACAAUUACGCUCUCCUUGAAGUUCAAUUGAUUUAAAUAGACUAGGAAAUACAAUAAUAGCAUAGGAGUGUGUAGUGGAACACAAAAGGCAUAGACUAUUUUUAAACAACUUGGCUAAACAAGGUGGUCUAUUAGCAUAAAAAUAAAGUGUCAGCAGCAUAUUACUCACUAAUAUUACUAUGUGCAUUUGGCAUGGUGCAUUGCCUUCGUGCUGACACUGUCAGUGUGUCAAAAAUUACUAUCUUUCCUUUCCAAACAAAAGAAUGUCUUAAAUUCCAAUUAAAAACUAUGUAUUAGGCUACAGUGAACCUGUAAUUCAAUUCUGAAUGUAAAUUUUACUUUAAUCUCUAUGGACAACUGUUACCUAGAACAUUGUGAAACAAAUGUCAGUCACUGCCCUAAUGAAAAGUGACUGUUUGAAAACAAAGAAUGAUGCUAAAAACAUUUAUUUGUUCUUACAGUCCAUGCCUAAUGCAAAUUUAAUUAAUUCCUUUGUGAAAAUCAUAAUUUGUGGUCUGCUAUGAUCAAGUCUUUCCCAUGUAAAAAGACAGCCCUCAAAAUAAUAAUAAGAAAUGGGCUAAAAUAUAGUGUACUUUCUGCUAUGAAGACUCUAACUGAAAAGUGCAAUGAUAAAAGUUUAAAGCUAACCUUGUUCUGAAAGUUGUAAUAAUCAAAAUUGAUCACCAGCAUUCCAGUUGCACACCUAUGUGGGACGUGGCUGAGUGAUAGAGUAGUUAGUGCUGCAUUAACAAUUGUACUCAAUGAUCCAAAGGUCUUUUCAAUCUAAGUGGUUCUAUGAUUCUAUGGCAGGAUUUCAGCAAAAGCUGGAUCAGGUUCAAUUUUUGGAACACUGUGAAUUUGUAAAGUAGCUUGCCUGUAUCAGUUUCUCAUAAAACAGGGAAUGCAUAGGUUGUGUUUUACUAUUGCAUUAAUGUGACAGAGCACUCUGCAUAUCUGAAAGACAGCAAUAAGCAAAGCUGAUUUCAGGAGAAUCUGAAUGAGGUGAGUGACAUAGCCCACAGGAUGAAUUUUAAAGAACAGGAAUAAUAGGUCAUUUGUAAGGAUCAAGUUUUGAUCCCAACUGAAACCAGGUUCAUUGUUCUUAUGGACUGUACUGAUAUGCCACUGUAGGUGAUAAUUUUUAGCCCUCCCCUGUUGCUACAUGAUGCCUAAACACCUUUUUCUUUGAGAAAAUAAGGAUGUGGGCAUGUAUAUGUAAAUGUAUUAUGUAUUAAUCUCCUUCACAUCCAUGUAUAUGGAUAUGGGGGAGAUUAAUCACUAGUACCAUGAAUGACGUUGAUCUCUUCAUUAGUCUUUGCUGGAUGGGUAUGUAUCUACUGGCCAUCCUAGCAACAACUUCUGGUUUCCAUUUUAUACAGAAAAUUUUUAGAUAGGAAAAUUCCUUUUUCACUCUGAGAAGCAGUAUAGUUUCUGUGAGAGUGUAUAAUUGUCCAUUCAUCAUCUAUUGAUUUUGCAUAUCAGUUACAUUCCAGAUGUAAUUACUCUACUUCAUAUGUCACAUUAACAUUUGACUAGAGAAAAUCUACAGAAAAAAUGUGCGCACCAACAGUAAACUGUGUUGAUAAAGAUAAGUUAUGAGUCCAGUAGUUAGCAAGUUCACUGAAGGACACCAAACCAGUCAUGUCUCCAUGGACCAUAUUUCUUAGCUUAGGAUGUUACAUUGUAUAAACAAAAUUCCUACAAUGAAUUAUUGUAUGUAUAUCUUUGUCUUGCAAGGACACAAGUUCAGUUUACUAGGUGCAGAAAUUAAAUUUGUGUAGUAAUGAAUGAAUGAAUUCAACAGUAUUUCAGCUAUAGUGUCUAUAUUAAAAGCAACUAAAAUCACUUAGCAGUUUUUAUACCUUUCUGUCCCCUUCCAAAGCUGUAUGAUUUCCCAUAAUUUGUUAGAUUAAACAUUACAGGAUCUAGUGAGAGGUCAUUCCAACUGAGGACAGCUGACUACUGUUUCAGUUUCUCAACAGCAAACUUGUUCUUGUCGAGGGUAUAUAGGUUACUGUGUGUGCUGUCAGCUGUUCAGGCUGAUUACUCCCAGCAGCAGAAGAAAGAUGGAAAGUCACAGUAAUUCAAAAGCUUGGGUCAGUCAGUCAAACUGACUUGGGAAUGUUUUUUAAGAACAGGACAGUGGAUUAGAAUUGAGUUUAUUUUAUAAAGAGCAAUGAGUUACUAAACUACCAUAGACAAAACUUCUCUGUCCAAGUACUCUUUCCAUCCUCCCAUCUCAUAAGACUUCAGAGUAAGCUUCCCAGAACCAUGGCUAUCCUUAUUUUCCAACAGCUCUUCAUAACAGCAGCUCCUUGGCAUGCUACAAAGAUUGAUAGUUCUUUACUUCUUUCAUGCAGCUGAAGUUGUCUACUAAGCAGAAACUAGCUAAUAUGGGCACUUUCUUGCUGUGCCAGUCACAGCAAGGGGCUUUCCCUUUAGGAAAGGACUAUAUGAACUUCAAGAAAGGUAAAAAAAAAAAAAAAAAAAAAAAUCAGUAAGCUUCUAGGCAUCCCAAUCUUUCAGAAAUUGAGUGAUUUUCCAGUUUCAUUCGACUUGAGCAUCUUCCAUAUAGAAAACAAGAAGAAGCUGUUUCAUAUGAUAAUGUUACUUUAACAUAAGCAUCUGCACUUCUGUUUUCUUAUUCUUUAUUAAACUCUGGAAAAUGUGAAAUACGUUUAUCUAUAAUUUUCCCCAUUUUUAAUGUGUUCUUUUUAUCUUUCAGUAUAUUAUUGCUAGUGUACACAAUGGUAAACGCAGACAUAUGAUGCUUUUUUUUUUUAAUAGUUACUAAAAUAACUACCACCAGGUCUUACAAUUACUCAGAAUGCAGUUUGAUGCAAUUAAAUGAAUUUCAGUAAUCUGUGUUCUAAAAAAUUCAAUCCUGCAUUUAAGAAAUCCUAAAAUACUGCUCAAGAGGAACAUUUCUGCAGCAAGGGAGAAAGCUAAAGGAGAACAGAAAAUUGAGAUAAUUCCUGCCUUUUACAGACAGAUUUGUAAUCUGGACUGUCCAAAAGGAAACUAUGCAAAAACUGCCACUUUUGCCACCAUGUUUACACUAAAUACGGAAUUGCAGACAAGUCAGUUUCAGUUAGGAGAUACAGCCUGCAUGACCUCUUCAUUUAAAAUAUGACAGUAAUAAUUGCCUGUUGAGUUGUUUCAGAUAUCUGCGUUCAUCCGUUGGAGAGAGGGUUCAUAAAAGAGCCUGGAUACAUAACUGAGAAGUUACUGAUUUGAAGAGGGGCUGGAAAUGGCUGAUUGGAAUGAAAAUCAACUUCUGUAAUAUCCCAUCUCCAGUCUUAUCACUUUUUAAACUAUUUACCUGAACUUAUUUUAAAUAUAUAUUUGUAAUUUGUGAUAGCUGUUACCCUUAUGAAUCAUCCUAUUAAAAAAUCCAACCAAAAAAAUAACAAAAAAACCCCAAAAUUCCCCAGACAAAAACCACAUAUGUUAGUUUAGCUGACCUUUUUAUUGCCUGUUUGUAGUAAUUUGAAAUUUCUGUCUCUGAAGACUGACACCUGAGCUCUCCGCAUGUUCAUAGUUUAAUUAAUAGUAUUUUAUUUAAUUUAACGUAACAAUAGCAAAAAGAGAUAGCAAAAAUUUACUUAGGAAAAAAAUAUUCAUUUUAAAGGAGUGCCUACAUUUAAUUGACCAAAACUUUGAUAGAAUUUAUAGACAAAUACUUAUUUAAAAGAAAACCAUUUAAUAUUUUUUUAGGGUUUGCUAACAACCCUGAGAGUAUAUUCCUUUCCCUACCUAGAUACAAAUGUGUCUUUUGUGCCACUUAGCUAGGAGAAACCAGUUUCUUAUCUUAAUAAAAAGUGGCAAGUUAUCUGAGCAGGAACUUUUUAUUUUUCAUCCUGACCUCUCUUUGCUUUCUUCCAUGUGCAGGUUCUGAAAAUAGCUGUGGCCAAGUUUUCAUUACUAGUGCAGACAAAAGCCAGUAACAGAAAGACAGAAUCACUGAGGUUGGAAAAGACCUCCAAGACCAUCAAGUCUGACCUUUAACUGAACAGCACCCUGUCAGCCAGACCCUGGCACUGAGUGCCACAUCUAGACUUAUGAACAUUUCUAACAUCCUGACUAUUUUCCCAUGUUCUAUCAAAUUCUUCUAAGAAAGGUCUGUAUGACAGAACAGAGGGUUAGGGUACUUUUAUAAAAUAGAAAUAAAAGUGCAUAUUUUGUCUUCAAUGCUAUUUAUAACAGAGCAUCCAUAUGUUUUUCUUCUAAUUUAUUUAAGCAUUCUUUCUACAAAGAGUGAUUUAGAUAGUCUAUUUAUUACCUUGUAAAAGCUCACAACAUUACAGAUAAUAAUUUCAUAUGCUUUUAAAAAUUAAUAAUUAAGCUAAGGUUCUAAGAUGAUAUGCCUAAGCACAGAUUUAGCUUCCAUACUCACUGUGUCAAAGGCCAAAAGUGAUUUUAUGUAAUUCAUUUACUCCUACUUUUAUUCUGACAGAUGCUUACUGCCUAUUGAAAAAAAAAACCUUAGUUCCUUAUGUAUUCAGUGGUAUGCUCUUGUAAUCUUGAGUUUGGCAAAC